RNAcentral lists this ribosomal RNA (331 nucleotides) under uncultured bacterium. RNAcentral describes it as "bacterial SSU rRNA". It matches the Rfam family "Bacterial small subunit ribosomal RNA", at positions 568 to 898 of the family's 1533-position model. The record is from RNAcentral.
CGCGUAGGUGGUUGCGUCAGUCGGAUGUGAAAUCCCCAGGCUUAACCUGGGAACUGCAUCCGAUACUGCGUGACUCGAGUGCAGCAGAGGGAAACGGAAUUCCUGGUGUAGAGGUGAAAUUCGUAGAUAUCAGGAGGAACACCGGUGGCGAAGGCGGUUUCCUGGGCUGACACUGACACUGAGGCGCGAAAGCGUGGGUAGCAAACAGGAUUAGAUACCCUGGUAGUCCACGCUGUAAACGGUGAGUGCUGGGUGUGGGGGGUGUAAUGCCUUCUGUGCCGAAGCUAACGCGUUAAGCACUCCGCCUGGGGAGUACGGCCGCAAGGUUGAA